This 85-nucleotide transfer RNA is filed under the name Ferroplasma acidiphilum. RNAcentral's name for it is "tRNA-Leu". It matches the Rfam family "tRNA". From Rfam's summary of the family: Transfer RNA (tRNA) molecules are approximately 80 nucleotides in length. RNAcentral also lists the same sequence under 4 other names. Lineage: Archaea; Methanobacteriati; Thermoplasmatota; Thermoplasmata; Thermoplasmatales; Ferroplasmaceae. The record is from RNAcentral.
GCAAGGGUAACUAAGCUUGGCCAAAGGUGUAGGACUUAAGAUUCUAUCUCGAAGGAGUUCGCGGGUUCAAAUCCCGUCCCUUGCA